AUGUUUUUGAAGCGCAUCUGUUGGUCAAAAAGUUAAAUUAUGUAUGGUAGGAGGAGAAGUGCCGGCAAGGAUGAGUUACAAGAAUAAAAGUGGAAACUCACUUUCAUUCAGACUUGACAUCCAUCAAUUAAUUGCCUUCUCUUUAUGCACUGUUAUUCAUCCCAUGUAUCGUUAUUCGCGGCCCAUUGACUGUACUGUGAAGCUAAUAGAAGAAUCUGGACGUGACCCUGUUUUCCAAUGGACAUAUUCUCAUACGCCGUCAAAUUAUAUAUUGUCAGCAGAACAUGUGUGCUUUCGUUCCAUGAUAAUAAAUUCCAGAGUGUUGAUGAAGAGUGCUUCGUUGAGGCCUCAUUUCACUUCUCCAGUGGAAGUGGCAUGGAGAUAAUUGAGUGUGGGGUCCAUCCUACAUAUAGUAGAAAUAAAAAGAGAAG
This 431-nucleotide unclassified non-coding RNA is filed under the name Hevea brasiliensis (rubber tree). The record is from RNAcentral. Lineage: Eukaryota; Viridiplantae; Streptophyta; Magnoliopsida; Malpighiales; Euphorbiaceae.